RNAcentral lists this ribosomal RNA (324 nucleotides) under uncultured bacterium. RNAcentral describes it as "partial 16S ribosomal RNA". It matches the Rfam family "Bacterial small subunit ribosomal RNA", at positions 1 to 334 of the family's 1533-position model. The record is from RNAcentral.
CUAUGCGCCUUGCCAGCCCGCUCAGUCAGAGUUUGAUCCUGGCUCAGAGCGAACGCUGGCGGCAGGCCUAACACAUGCAAGUCGAACGAACUCUUCGGAGUUAGUGGCGGACGGGUGAGUAACACGUGGGAACGUGCCUUUUGGUUCGGAAUAACUCAGGGAAACUUGUGCUAAUACCGAAUGUGCCCUUCGGGGGAAAGAUUUAUCGCCAUUAGAGCGGCCCGCGUCUGAUUAGCUAGUUGGUGAGGUAAAGGCUCACCAAGCGACGAUCAGUAGCUGGUCUGAGAGGAUGAUCAGCCACAUUGGGACUGAGACACGGCCCAA